AGCAAAAUGAGGAGGUCAAUUGAUCUGAAGUAUCUAGUGUUGAUACAUCCAUUCUUUUUUAAAAAAAAAACCCCGAAAGUGGCAAAAGAUUUGCC
This 95-nucleotide small nucleolar RNA is filed under the name Oryza nivara. RNAcentral describes it as "Small nucleolar RNA R160". It matches the Rfam family "Small nucleolar RNA R160". From Rfam's summary of the family: snoR160 is a C/D box small nucleolar RNA, which acts as a methylation guide for 25S ribosomal RNA in plants. snoR160 has been alternatively named snoZ270 in rice. Lineage: Eukaryota; Viridiplantae; Streptophyta; Magnoliopsida; Poales; Poaceae. The record is from Rfam by way of RNAcentral.